This 492-nucleotide ribosomal RNA is filed under the name uncultured bacterium. RNAcentral's name for it is "partial 16S ribosomal RNA". It matches the Rfam family "Bacterial small subunit ribosomal RNA", at positions 29 to 507 of the family's 1533-position model. The record is from RNAcentral.
AGUGAACGCUGGCGGUAGGCCUAACACAUGCAAGUCGAACGGCAGCACAGUAAGAGCUUGCUCUUACGGGUGGCGAGUGGCGGACGGGUGAGGAAUACAUCGGAAUCUACUUUUUCGUGGGGGAUAACGUAGGGAAACUUACGCUAAUACCGCAUACGACCUACGGGUGAAAGCAGGGGAUCUUCGGACCUUGCGCGAUUGAAUGAGCCGAUGUCGGAUUAGCUAGUUGGCGGGGUAAAGGCACACCAAGGCGACGAUGCGUAGCUGGUCUGAGAGGAUGAUCGGCCACACUGGAACUGAGACACGGUCCAGACUCCUACGGGAGGCAGCAGUGGGGAAUAUUGGACAAUGGGCGCAAGCCUGAUCCAGCCAUACCGCGUGGGUGAAGAAGGCCUUCGGGUUGUAAAGCCCUUUUGUUGGGAAAGAAAAGCAGCAGGUUAAUACCCCGCUGUUCUGACGGUACCCAAAGAAUAAGCACCGGCUAACUUCGUG